AUGGCACACACCUGUAGUCCCAGCUACCAGGGAGGCUGAGGCAGGAGAAUCAUUUGAACCCUGGAGGUGGAGGUGGCACAUGUGCACUGAGUGGAAGCCACCUAGAAACAUAAUCCUAAAAAACAUGUGUUGGUGACCCAUAUCGAUAAACUUUUAAUUUAAGAUAUGAUAAUGCCAAUUUUAAAACUAAAUUCGAAGCAUCAUUUUGAUACAGACAGGAGGCAGGAAAAUACUGGGUAGAAGAGGGCGGCGUCCCUGGCGAGGGCUCCACCCUCAAGCCUGGACCCGAGGUCCUAAAUGAGAACAGUUAUCCCUGUUUUCCCGCCUAAAUGUUACUUUUUUGGCUCACCCUGCCCACCUGUCCUGUACCCAUAUAAACCCCAGACCUCAGCUGGCAAAGAGACAAGCAGCUGAAUGUCGAGAAGAGAAGAAGCAACUGAGCAUCGGAGACUACAGAUAGAUGCGGCUUAACUUCCGAUGACACGACUUCGGAAAGAAGCCCAGCGCAGACGGCCAGGCUUCGGGGAAAGAUCACCUUCUUCCCGCACCAUCCGCUCGUCAUCUUCCCUUCCACUGACAGCCACUUCCACCUCUUAAUAAAAUAUCCGCAUUCACCAUCCUUUAAGUCCAUGUGACCUGAAUCUUCCUGGAUGUCGGACAAGAACCCGGGUACCACGAGGGCAGAGUUUAAAAGGCUGUCACCCCGAAUCUCCACUGAGCUGAUGAACCCUUAGCUGUCCACGGAUGGCAACUGCUAAAAGAACAUUAAUUGUGACACUCGCCUAGACGUUAUCAGGGGGCCGGAGCCCAGAAGUGCUCGCCCCGGACCCGGCACCCGCUCGCCUGUGUGCUCCCCUUCCUGCAAGGGGUUUGAGCGUGGUGGUGGCAGAGUAAGCGAGCUGCACCCCUGUCGCAAGUCCUGCGAAGGUGUCAAAGGAACUCUCCCGUCUCAAUUUCAAAGUACUGUUUACCUUGGGAGUAUUUUAAAAUUCUUAUCUCUCUGAUUCCAGUUCCCAUUUGACUUUUGUCCACUGCAUUUGUUUUGUCUUGUUUUGUUUUGUUUGACACAGAAUCUGGCUCUGUUGCCCAGGCUGGAGUGCAAUGGUGCUAUCUCUGCAUACUGCAACCUCCGCCUCCCAGGAUCAAACGAUUCUCCUGCCUUAGCUUCCUGAGUAACUGGCAGGCACCCACCACCAUGCCUGGUUAAUUUUUGUAUUUUUAGUAGAGACAGGGUUUCACCAUGUUGGCCAGGCUGGUUUUGAACUCCUGACCUCAAAUGAUCCACCGGCCUCAGCCUCCCAAAGUGCUGGGAUUACGGGCAUGAGCCACUACACCUGGCCUGUCCAUUGCAUGUUUACUUUCACAACAAAGUCUAUCUAAAAUAGUAGCUCAAUUCAUCUUUUAGCAGCACAUGUGUCUUUGUAAAAUAUGUAGGCCAUGUGUAAGACACCUUAAAAAUAUGUCUCCAAAAGUAAGUUGAAGCUAUAAAACUUCAAAAGGUAGCUUUCAACCUUUACUUGCCAUGUUAAUUUAACAAGCAAUUAUUGAGCAAUUAGUUAGGCAGUAUUUCCAAAGAAAUGCAAAGUGUGACAUCUGCUCUCACAAAAAUUUUAAUUCAGUGGAGGAGAUAAAGCAUAAAUGCAGGAAAGAGUUAAACAAUAAUAUGUAGUAUAUGCUUACGAUGUUCAAAGUAGAGAGAAGAGUGGAUUGUAGACAUUGUGGAAAGUAAACUGAAACUUAAAUUUGGUCAUAAAGGAAAGAGUAGACAUUCAGGAAGAAAGGAAUCAUGGUGGAAAAUCACUACCUGGCAAAUAAAGUAUGUACAUAAAAUUCAGGAUUCAGGGCCAGGUGCAGUGGCUCAUGCCUGUAAUCCCAGCACUUUGGGAGGCCGAGAGGGGUGGAUUGCCUGAGCUCAGGAGUUUGCGACCAGCCUGGGCAACACGGUGUAACCCUGUUUCUACUAAAAUACAAAAAAUUAGCUGGGCAUGGUGGCGUGUGCCUGUAGUCCCAGCUACUUGGGAGACUGAGGCCAGAGAAUUGCUUGAACCCGGGAGGCGGAGGUUGCAGUGAGCCAAGAUCACGCCACUGCACUCCAGCCUGGGCAACAGAGUGAGACUCUGUCUCAAAAAAAAAAAAAAAAAAAAAUUCAGGAUUCAAUGGAGAAAGCAACUGAGAGUGUGGAAGGAAAGGUGCCAUGCUUUAGCCCUGCAUGCCAUUCUCCUUCUCAUUGUUCCGCAUGUGGACAGCUUGACAGUGGAGGACACUUGCAACCUGAGACAUUCACAAGGUGAAUUCACAAGGAGCAAGGACAGGUGAUGAGGAAUUUUGCCACACUGCCUUACACCCGCCAUGUGAUAUGUCUUGGUGGAUGUGCACACGUGCUCUUCAGAAGGUUGUGCAUUUUGGAUUUGUUGUAUUUAUUGUCACAUAGGAGGAAGAUUAUUCAAGCAGACUGAGUUGGUAGGUAAUAUUAUCUGUAUCUAUAUCCACACCAAUUUUUAGUGUAUUGUCCUAUCAAUUACUGAGAGGGGAGUGCUAAAAUCUCUAACUUUAUUUGUGGAUUUGUUUAUAUCAAAAGUAUUUCUGUUAGUUGUUGCUUCAUUUAUUUUGAUACUCUAUUAAAAGGUACCAACACAUUUAGGACAGCCAUGUCUUCUUGAUGAACUGACCAUUUUAGCAUUAUAAAAUGCCUCUUAUUUCUGGUAAUACUUUGUCUUUAAGUUCACUUUGCUGGAUAUUAAUAGAACCAUUUCAGAUUUUUCAUGAGUGUUUUUAUGGUAUGGGUUUCCAUUUAAUAAAAAUUCUAGCUAAUAUUUUUAUGGUUAAAUCAUGAUAUUCAUUGGCCUCAAACAUAAUUCUCAUUUGAAGAUAAAGAGCAACUACACCGUUAGUCGUCUUCAAUUAGUUCAACUAAACUAAGUUGUUUGUAGACUGCAUUUUCAGAGAAUGUGGUUUGUUAUUCUCAAGCCAGUUCCUGUCAGGGUAUUUUUUUUAUAUAGUAGUUCAUUUAGUGUCAAUGACAAAUAAAUUGCUUGUUGCCUCAGAGUUAUAUGGUGAGUACAUGUUUGUAUAUGGGUUCUCUCUUUUCCUUACUUUAAGCAAACUGAGGUGAUUUUUUUUCCUGUGUAGUUUGAUCUAGCACGUGGUUCAAUACGUGU
This 3158-nucleotide long non-coding RNA is filed under the name Homo sapiens (human). Its description in RNAcentral is "HSALNT0272593". The record is from RNAcentral. Lineage: Eukaryota; Metazoa; Chordata; Mammalia; Primates; Hominidae.